This 491-nucleotide ribosomal RNA is filed under the name uncultured bacterium. RNAcentral's name for it is "partial 16S ribosomal RNA". It matches the Rfam family "Bacterial small subunit ribosomal RNA", at positions 29 to 506 of the family's 1533-position model. The record is from RNAcentral.
AGUGAACGCUGGCGGUAGGCCUAACACAUGCAAGUCGAACGGCAGCACAGUAAGAGCUUGCUCUUACGGGUGGCGAGUGGCGGACGGGUGAGGAAUACAUCGGAAUCUACUUUUUCGUGGGGGAUAACGUAGGGAAACUUACGCUAAUACCGCAUACGACCUACGGGUGAAAGCAGGGGAUCUUCGGACCUUGCGCGAUUGAAUGAGCCGAUGUCGGAUUAGCUAGUUGGCGGGGUAAAGGCCCACCAAGGCGACGAUCCGUAGCUGGUCUGAGAGGAUGAUCAGCCACACUGGAACUGAGACACGGUCCAGAUUCCUACGGGAGGCAGCAGUGGGGAAUAUUGGACAAUGGGCGCAAGCCUGAUCCAGCCAUACCGCGUGGGUGAAGAAGGCCUUCGGGUUGUAAAGCCCUUUUGUUGGGAAAGAAAAGCAGCAGGUUAAUACCCCGCUGUUCUGACGGUACCCAAAGAAUAAGCACCGGCUAACUUCGU